This 253-nucleotide ribosomal RNA is filed under the name uncultured bacterium. Its description in RNAcentral is "partial 16S ribosomal RNA". It matches the Rfam family "Bacterial small subunit ribosomal RNA", at positions 524 to 776 of the family's 1533-position model. The record is from RNAcentral.
UACGGAGGACCCGAGCGUUAUCCGGAUUUAUUGGGUUUAAAGGGUGCGUAGGCGGCCUUGUAAGUCAGGGGUGAAAGACGGUAGCUUAACUAUCGCAGUGCCUUUGAUACUGCAGGGCUUGAAUGUACUUGAGGUAGGCGGAAUGUGACAAGUAGCGGUGAAAUGCAUAGAUAUGUCACAGAACACCAAUUGCGAAGGCAGCUUACUAAAGUAUGAUUGACGCUGAGGCACGAAAGCGUGGGGAUCAAACAGG